GGCCCUAUGGUUGAAUGGAACAACGCUGUCUUCAAUUACGAAACCAAGCAAAGGGUUGAGACGGAGGACCUCGUUCGAUUCGAGGUAGGGCCA
Mycena crocata is the source of this 93-nucleotide non-coding RNA. The record is from the annotation of a GenBank genome assembly. Lineage: Eukaryota; Fungi; Basidiomycota; Agaricomycetes; Agaricales; Mycenaceae.